CCUACGGGAGGCAGCAGUGAGGAAUAUUGGACAAUGGGCGCAAGCCUGAUCCAGCCAUGCCGCGUGCAGGAUGACGGUCCUAUGGAUUGUAAACUGCUUUUGUACAGGAAGAAACAGUUCUACGUGUAGAACCUUGACGGUACUGUAAGAAUAAGGAUCGGCUAACUCCGUGCCAGCAGCCGCGGUAAUACGGAGGAUCCAAGCGUUAUCCGGAAUCAUUGGGUUUAAAGGGUCCGUAGGCGGUUUAGUAAGUCAGUGGUGAAAGCCCAUCGCUCAACGGUGGAACGGCCAUUGAUAUUGCUAAACUUGAAUUAUUAGGAAGUAACUAGAAUAUGUAGUGUAGCGGUGAAAUGCUUAGAGAUUACAUGGAAUACCAAUUGCGAAGGCAGGUUACUACUAAUGGAUUGACGCUGAUGGACGAAAGCGUGGGUAGCGAACAGGAUUAGAUACCCUGGUAGUCCACGCCGUAAACGAUGGAUACUAGCUGUUGGAAGCAAUUUCAGUGGCUAAGCGAAAGUGAUAAGUAUCCCACCUGGGGAGUACGUUCGCAAGAAUGAAACUCAAAGGAAUUGACGG
Molecule: ribosomal RNA, 576 nt
Filed under: uncultured bacterium
Lineage: Bacteria
Description: bacterial SSU rRNA
Rfam family: Bacterial small subunit ribosomal RNA
Source: RNAcentral